Molecule: ribosomal RNA, 515 nt
Filed under: uncultured bacterium
Lineage: Bacteria
Description: partial 16S ribosomal RNA
Rfam family: Bacterial small subunit ribosomal RNA
Source: RNAcentral
GACGAACGCUGGCGGCGUGCCUAAUACAUGCAAGUCGAACGCUUCCUACCGGUGCUUGCACCGGGAAAGAAGAGUGGCGGACGGGUGAGUAACACGUGGGUAACCUACCUACAAGCGGGGGAUAACAUUCGGAAACGGAUGCUAAUACCGCAUAGAUCUUUUUGUCUCCUGGCGGAAAGAAGAAAGACGGUUUCGGCUGUCACUUGUAGAUGGACCCGCGGCGCAUUAGUUAGUUGGGGAGGUAAUGGCUCACCAAGACGAUGAUGCGUAGCCGACCUGAGAGGGUGAUCGGCCACACUGGGACUGAGACACGGCCCAGACUCCUACGGGAGGCAGCAGUAGGGAAUCUUCCGCAAUGGACGAAAGUCUGACGGAGCAACGCCGCGUGAGUGAAGAAGGUUUUCGGAUCGUAAAACUCUGUUGUUAGAGAAGAACAAGGAUGAGAGUAACUGCUCGUCCCUUGACGGUAUCUAACCAGAAAGCCAUGGCUAACUACGUGCCAGCCGCCGCAGUAA